RNAcentral lists this ribosomal RNA (253 nucleotides) under uncultured bacterium. Its description in RNAcentral is "partial 16S ribosomal RNA". It matches the Rfam family "Bacterial small subunit ribosomal RNA", at positions 524 to 776 of the family's 1533-position model. The record is from RNAcentral.
UACGUAGGGUGCGAGCGUUGUCCGGAAUUAUUGGGCGUAAAGAGCUCGUAGGCGGUUUGUCGCGUCGGCCGUGAAAACUUGGGGCUUAACCCCAAGCCUGCUUCUGAUACGGGCAGACUAGAGGUAUGCAGGGGAGAACGGAAUUCCUGGUGUAGCGGUGAAAUGCGCAGAUAUCAGGAGGAACACCGGUGGCGAAGGCGGUUCUCUGGGCAUUACCUGACGCUGAGGAGCGAAAGUGUGGGGAGCGAACAGG